RNAcentral lists this ribosomal RNA (324 nucleotides) under uncultured eukaryote. RNAcentral's name for it is "partial 18S ribosomal RNA". It matches the Rfam family "Eukaryotic small subunit ribosomal RNA", at positions 1470 to 1796 of the family's 1831-position model. The record is from RNAcentral.
CCCUUAGAUGUUCUGGGCCGCACGCGCGCUACACUGAUGCAUUCAACGAGUUUCUUCCUGGUCCGAGAGGAAUGGGUAACCUUUUGAAAGUGCAUCGUGAUAGGGAUAGACUAUUGCAAUUAUUGGUCUUCAACGAGGAAUUCCUAGUAGACGUAGUUCAUCAGACUGCAUCGAUUACGUCCCUGCCCUUUGUACACACCGCCCGUCGCUCCUACCGAUUGAAUGCUCAGGAGAGCCAUUCGGACUUUCAUCAUGCUGGUUUCCAGUUUUGAUGAAGGAAAGUCUUGCGAACCUUAUCAUUUAGAGGAAGGAGAAGUCGUAACA